Molecule: transfer RNA, 76 nt
Filed under: Candidatus Cloacimonadota bacterium
Lineage: Bacteria; Pseudomonadati; Candidatus Cloacimonadota
Description: tRNA-Glu
Rfam family: tRNA
About the family: Transfer RNA (tRNA) molecules are approximately 80 nucleotides in length. Their secondary structure includes four short double-helical elements and three loops (D, anti-codon, and T loops).
Source: RNAcentral
GACCCCUUCGUUCUAUCGGUUAGGACUCAAGAUUUUCAUUCUUGCAAGAGGGGUUCGAUUCCCCUAGGGGUCGCCA